CCUACGGGAGGCAGCAGUAGGGAAUCUUGGACAAUGGGCGCAAGCCUGAUCCAGCCAUGCCGCGUGAGUGAAGAAGGCCUUAGGGUCGUAAAGCUCUUUCGCCUGUGAUGAUAAUGACAGUAGCAGGUAAAGAAACCCCGGCUAACUCCGUGCCAGCAGCCGCGGUAAU
RNAcentral lists this ribosomal RNA (169 nucleotides) under uncultured bacterium. RNAcentral's name for it is "partial 16S ribosomal RNA". It matches the Rfam family "Bacterial small subunit ribosomal RNA", at positions 338 to 524 of the family's 1533-position model. The record is from RNAcentral.